UCUGUUUCUCGCCGCGUCGGCGCCGCUCGCCUCGCAACUCCGGCGGCCGGAGCAGCCGGCUCGCCGCGCGUGCUAUCUCACUCGCCAGCUAUCUGCCAUCAGCAAGGUACCCUGCCGAAACCCCGAAACCCCGCGGUUACCUACGGAUUAUUGCAAUCCACCUCGUGCUGAGUAUCAGAGUGUGGUCGUCGCGACUAGGUUUAAAUUCGAGUUUCUCCCAGAAUAGUGGUGGAAUUUGUGUUCAUCGCUGUCGCUACGCGCACGGUUUAGUCUGGAAUGGGUGGCCUCGAGGUGGUUCCAAGGAAGCCUGGCUUAAGGAAAUGCGAUCCCUAUAUGCAAAAUUUGGGACUGGUUUGACUUGAAAAUUUUUGUCACGAUUGACCGGAGCUAUGUAGAACCUGUUGUUUUGAACAACUUCACAGGACUAGUUUGUGACGUGAUUGCACUAGCUUUGAAGUCUGUACUGUGAUGUGUGUAAAGGUAGUGUAGGACCAGCUAGAUAGGACAAAAGUGUAUAUUUCGCCUGGUACUAGAUAGGACCAGCCAGCUAGUAAAACGAGAUGGUUAGGUAUGGGGAGCUUUGUUAAUAUCCGUUUCCUGAAGAGUCAGUUAACUUUUGCAGGUCUUCAGGCUGUGAGAACCUUCAUGUGUUAUUUACUUACUAUUAUUGUACCUGUAUCUGUAUACCAUGAGAAAUUUCCUACAAAACUUAAUUCAGUUCUAUGCCAUAAGUAGAGUUUGUGUUUACCCCCUGUGUAACUUAUGAAUAAUGAUAGGAAAGGGGGGCUUGGAAAUGCAAUAACACAGCCAUUACCUGAACUGCUUUCCCCAGUUUUCUUCUACUGGUUGGCUGAUGACAUUGUCAAUUUCUACCAGUAUUGUGAAAGCAUUGUGCAUGUUUUGAGUUUCCAUUCAUCUGAGUUUGAGCAGAGAGAAGCCCUUCCAAAGGAGCCCCAGUGUGCUGUGCAUGGUGAAAUAACCAGAAAAUGAUGGGAUUCUAUAGUGUUCCUAUCCAUGGUCUUGCUGCUUCAAAUAAAGCCAGCAACAAAGAAUUCCACUCUUCAGUUGGUGAUGACUGAUGAGAUCUCCCGUAUGACUAGCAACAGCUUCCGUACCUUAUUCAUCACAUAGUGGCCAGAUGCCCAGAUCUUUUGAUUAUUAAGUGCAAUAACAUGUUUCAUUUUGCGGUUUCUCAGAUGAUUUUGUGCGAUCAUGAACCUCCAGGAUACUUUGCCUUCUUGGCGGAGGCGCAAGUGACGCAUCAAUGAAUAUUGGAACCUUGCUUUCUUCUAGAAUUGCUUGAUAGUGCUGUUUUUCACGUUCUUAAUCUCUAAGUCCGCAAGCAUAGUUGUAGAGCUAAUGAACCAGUUAGGACCAUCUGCUGAUAAAGAAUUUACCUUUCAGAACUGAUUGAUUUGAAGAUUCUUUGCUCAGAGAAACUACAGAGUCUGACGUGAGAGGUAGCCUGUUGAAGCAGAGACAAGUGAGCCUUAUGAUUAUACGAGCAUAGUGCUCAGCGUUACAGUGUUCUGCAUCUAUACAGCUCUUACGGUGGUUGAGAUAGCAGGCCAUGCAACUGUUUCAAGCAUUUUAUCGUGCCCAGGUCAUUAUACUUUGGAAAAUGUAUUUCCAGAAAUGAGGAAGGUGACAGGUUAUGGCACGCACUUGUUUGAAAUGAGUGAACUGAACAUUUUUGUUAAACAAGUGAUCAGCAGUGUGAGUCCAAGCAGAAGAAAUUGAGGGGUUUGACUGAUUGGCAAUCGAGCGGCACCAUAAGUCACCAGAUGUCAUGUUAACUCAUUGCAAAAUCAAAGCUUAUCUCACACUUAGGUUCCUGCAAUUAAACGGAAAGCAAAUCCCUUUGCUACAUGCUAGUACUAUAUUAAAGGAAGCUUCUGUUAGAAGAUAAUAAGCUUACUGCAGGACAGCAGAAGUACAAGUACCUAUUAUAUUUAUAUCUACACAGUUUCCUCCAGGUCUCUUGGGGGCAUGGUGUUGAUCUCAAAAGUAUGCCAAGUGAUGUUGUGCAACAUGUUGCAUUGCACACAUGCAUAUAGCCAUUAAGCUUGAGAAAGUAUCAAUGUCCCUGAAUAAGGAAGAUUGGCUGCUUUUUCUUGAGAGCAGGUUCUGAUUCUGAAGCCUAGAGACAUUCUUGCGUGGUACUUCUAUAGCAUGAAUUCAAAUCAGAAAUAUUAAUCAUCUGCCACAUGUCAAUGCCAACAGGAUAUAUUGAAAUACAAGUGCGGCGGUAACUUUGAAAGAUGUUGCUUUAUAUGGGAUUGGCUCUAUGCUGCCCAGAAGAUAUUGGUUACUAUAAUGGCUCAGUGCACAUUAGAACCUUAAAUCUUAUAACUUAGGUGUUUGCAGUUUACUUCUACGAAGACCAUAAAUUUGUAACUUGAAGGCUUGGAGCUGGUUCAGAAUUCAGAUAUCCUUGGGGGGUUUGUUCUGUGUGAAGGGAAGAGAUAGUUAAUAUGUGCACAUAUAUUCAUUAUUGAAAGCAAAGCAUAGCAUCCAAGUUACUGUUGUUGCUUGGAUGCUAAUUCAGUAAUUUAUUAUUAGUGCAGGCUUGAUGUAAUUUUGAAUUUUUUUUGCAGUAUUGCAGCCUUAGUUGCCAUUUAAUAUUUUUAGUUAUUGAAGGUUGAUAUGAUUAUGCAUUAAGUUAUUAGAUGGUAAUAUUGUUAAAAACCAUGCAUCACAGCAUCGAUGACCAGGAAUAAAUGAGGAAGAGUUUAUUAGUUUAAAAGGAGAAAAAGGACUUCAGCUUAGGAUCGGGAUCAUGACUAACAGUAGGUGGGCUGAAUUAGCUAGAAAUUUUACUUUGGUAUUUCCAUUAUUUAUUAAAAAAAUUAAUUUAAUUUAUGCAAAUGGUCUUUCCUGGUAUGGUUUAUUUUUGGUAGCCACAAACUGUAUUAUGGAUGGUGAUGUGUCUUAACAACUAGCUAAAAACACUCAACCCAACCACCUUACUGUUUUGAGGAUAUAAAUUAGCUAAGCCAUGUAGUUUUGUCCUCUUUUACUAAACUUUUUUUCUGUUAUAAACAGUUAAUUUAAUAUUAUCAUGCAUUGCAUAGAUUUAUAUUCAGUGUAUGGUGACAAAUCGUGACCCAAGUUCAUUGCUGAUUUAUAUCCUCGAGACACACUAUCUAAUCAUUUUGACUUGCUGUGGUAGUGUCAAAAUGCAACAGCUAAGCUAGGACCAACUGGCAAUAGUACGAAACCCUUCUUGUAGGGCAGUGCUUGAUCAUACACUUGCAGUCAUACUUUCCAACGCUAUGCAUUGGGUGGUUGGCUGGUCUACAGCUAGUUGCUUGCAGAAAUGCUGUGUCAGAUCUGAGACUUCUAUUUAAAGAGAGUAUUGCGUGGAUAAAUCUAAUAAUCUGGAUACUUAUUAUACACAUCAAGAGCCACACAGGGCAUUCUGACCUUCGGUGAGCUGGUCCAUAUGUUACUGUUAUGGCUGAUUGUGCUACUGUCCUUUACCAUAUUUGUUUGCAUCUUCCCAAGCUCCGGUAAAGAAAAGCUUGUAAGACUGCAUUCAUUCGAUUGUUGAGAAAAUAGUUUGACUUUAGUUUUCCAAUCCAUCUUCUAGAAUACUGUUUACUUCAGGUAUCUGUUCAUUUUUUACAAGCUAAGAGCGUAUUGUUUUAAGUAAUUAUGACUAAUCUUACCGUCUCAUUGAUUAUUAGGGAGGCAAUGCCAUAAUCCAUUUACUGGCAUGUACAUCAACCAUCACUUCAGAGGGUUUAGGUAGAUCUGGUGGGCAAUAAUAUCAUUAUGCUUUGCAAUCUAAUUAAGAUGAGAUAAUCAUGAUCUGAACAGGAUUGAAGCAAAGCAAGAAGUUAGUGAUGAGGGACCAGUACAGCUAUCCUACUAGACAUAUUCAAUGUAUGCUUUUGCAACAUGGGAGGCCCUUAACCAGCUACCUUGGCACCACAAGGUAUCAAGGCAAAUACUGGUAUGACCUUUUCCAAAAUUUAAGAGCAGUAGUAGUCUCGAUCAGUUUUCUGAAUUAUGAGGCGUGAAUCGUAUGUUUAAUUUGUUCUGCAGGCAAUACUGUCUUAUUUCUCAUUUUCCAGCUUUUUCUCAAGUGUGUGGACUUAAUGAACAUGUGUGAUAGGUUUGAUAGAUGGCGACACAACACAAACUAAUGAGUUAACAAACAUGCUUAUGCUAUUAUACAUGACCAAAAAGUCUAAGCUAAUAUGCUUAUUUUAAGCAUCCGAACUUAAUAAGGCACUGUUUGGAUCCACCCAACUAAAGUUUAGCUAGCUAAAAUUUCAAAGCUAAACUUUAACCAGCUAAAAGUUCUCUAAGCUAAACUUUAGCCGGGGUGUUUGGAUCCCCCAACUAAUAGACUCAGUUAAACUUUAGCUGGGGUGUUUGGAUCCUCUAACUAAUAGACUCCGUUAAAUUUAGCUGAUCUUUUAGCUGGACUGUUUGGAUCCCUAGUAGCUAGAGCCAGUUAAAAUUUAGUUGGUGGAUCCAAAUAAGCCCUAAGGAGUUUGCUACAUUGCCAUCGCUUUUGCUGGUAACCAUCACUGAACUUAACAUGGUCCUAAUCAGAUGCUAUGUUAUCUCUUUGUGUACUAUAAAUGGUGAUCGACUGUUGUUUUCAUCAACAUCCUAGAGACCUCUUAGUCUACUGUAUGUGUCAAUUGCAGCUAAUAUCCUUCCUGUUGUUGUGCUCUUCCGAUCUCUUUUUUUGGCUGGCACGAUCGUACUUUAUGACUGACCAACUAACUGACUGGGCCCAUCUGCAUUGACUGCACGCUUUACCAACCUAUAGAACCAAACUGUGGAGAUGAUUCGUGCUUCAUUGCUCCUAUUUGUGUGUUAUCAAAUAGGGAAGAGAGAAUAUGGGGGGACCAUGGUUUUUUUUUUCAUUCACUUCACUCUUGCUUUCUACAAUACUGUACUAGCUACCAUGUGAGAUUUUACAUAUGAUGUGGCGUUCAAGUUUUUUCGAAGGGAACUAGGAAAAUGCUGUAGUUUUUUUUGGUUGUUGCUAGUGCUGGAUUAAUGUCACAGUUCAAAGACAUGACAACUGAAGCUUACUUGAACUGAUCGAUAUCUGUUUUUACUGUGUACUGGCCGCAGGCUAUAGCUACUUUUGUGGAUGAACAAUGGAAACAAUCAUACGUAGUAUGGUGCGCUGUCACAGUUAAGUUGAUGCCUUUCUGUUAAUUGUAUAGACAUUGCAUUUAAUCAUCAAUUAAGUGCCCCAAGCUUGCGAUCAGGGAUUUUUGCCUGCAGACAAUGGUUCCGCUGGUCAUUAUUGCUUGUGUUAGUUGUAUGCUAACUUGGCUGCUUAUUAUUAAUUAGCAGUGUACUGUUGUGAUUAUGCAAAUCGUGAGCAGUAUUUUGAUGAUUCUCUGAUGAUGUUCUCAUCUCAUUUAUCACAUAUUUACGUGAAAGUGACAUUCACAAUAUAGCACCUAGGAAUAUGGAUAUAACAUUUACUAUGUUUCUUCACUGGAGCAACAGAACUGCCAAAAAAUUAUUAUUGAUGAAUGCACACAGUAAACAUUUUGAUCGAGUUGAUUAACGUAACUGUGAUGAUACUGGAAACCUUUGUGCAUUUGCUUGUUUCUCUUUUGUUUUGACUAUCUUGCAGGAAAAGGUACAUGGCAUAAAUGCUCAAAGAUAAAUGAAUUUUCCUAUGAUGAACCAUACAUGUUGUUCUUAGUCCUGGGGAGUUUACUGGCUAAGUAGGUAGGCUGAUGCUCUGUGCUUUGAAAUGAUUGUGUUGUUAGCCAAUA
This is a long non-coding RNA of Sorghum bicolor (sorghum), 5762 nucleotides long. RefSeq lists it as uncharacterized. Lineage: Eukaryota; Viridiplantae; Streptophyta; Magnoliopsida; Poales; Poaceae. The record is from RefSeq and is a predicted model, not a curated record. The transcript is spliced from 3 exons.